RNAcentral lists this small nuclear RNA (107 nucleotides) under Dasypus novemcinctus (nine-banded armadillo). The record is from RNAcentral. Lineage: Eukaryota; Metazoa; Chordata; Mammalia; Cingulata; Dasypodidae.
AUGCUCGCUUCUGCAGCACAUAUACUAGAAUUGGAACAAUACAGAGAGGAUUGGCGUGGAUCCUGAGCAAGGUUAGCAUGCAAAUUCAUGAAGUGUUCCGUAUUUUU